RNAcentral lists this ribosomal RNA (460 nucleotides) under uncultured bacterium. Its description in RNAcentral is "partial 16S ribosomal RNA". It matches the Rfam family "Bacterial small subunit ribosomal RNA", at positions 338 to 795 of the family's 1533-position model. The record is from RNAcentral.
CCUACGGGUGGCAGCAGUGAGGAAUAUUGGUCAAUGGGCGGAAGCCUGAACCAGCCAAGUAGCGUGCAGGAUGACGGCCCUACGGGUUGUAAACUGCUUUUAUACGGGAAUAACGCGCCUUACGUGUAGGGCUUUGCAUGUACCGUAUGAAUAAGCACCGGCUAAUUCCGUGCCAGCAGCCGCGGUAAUACGGAAGGUCCGGGCGUUAUCCGGAUUUAUUGGGUUUAAAGGGAGCGUAGGCCGCAUGUCAAGCGUGCUGUGAAAUGUCCGGGCUCAACCCGGGCCUUGCGGCGCGAACUGGCGUGCUUGAGUCCGCGGAAAGCAGGCGGAAUGCGUGGUGUAGCGGUGAAAGGCUUAGAUAUGACGAAGAACCCCGAUUGCGAAGGCAGCUUGCUGCAGCGGAACUGACGCUGAUGCUCGAAAGCGCGGGUAUCGAACAGGAUUAGAUACCCCGGUAGUC